RNAcentral lists this ribosomal RNA (500 nucleotides) under uncultured bacterium. Its description in RNAcentral is "partial 16S ribosomal RNA". It matches the Rfam family "Bacterial small subunit ribosomal RNA", at positions 30 to 523 of the family's 1533-position model. The record is from RNAcentral.
AUUGAACGCUGGCGGCAUGCUUUACACAUGCAAGUCGAACGGUAACAGGGUGCUUGCACCGCUGACGAGUGGCGAACGGGUGAGUAAUGCGUCGGAACGUGCCGAGUAGUGGGGGAUAACGCAGCGAGAGUUGUGCUAAUACCGCAUACGUACUGAGGUAGAAAGUGGGGGACCUUCGGGCCUCACGCUAUUCGAGCGGCCGACGUCUGAUUAGCUAGUAGGUGAGGUAAAGGCUCACCUAGGCGACGAUCAGUAGCGGGUCUGAGAGGAUGAUCCGCCACACUGGGACUGAGACACGGCCCAGACUCCUACGGGAGGCAGCAGUGGGGAAUUUUGGACAAUGGGCGCAAGCCUGAUCCAGCCAUUCCGCGUGCAGGAUGAAGGCCUUCGGGUUGUAAACUGCUUUUGUACGGAACGAAACGGUUCUCUCUAAUACAGGGGGCUAAUGACGGUACCGUAAGAAUAAGCACCGGCUAACUACGUGCCAGCCGCCGCAGUAA